Molecule: long non-coding RNA, 470 nt
Organism: Populus euphratica (Euphrates poplar)
Lineage: Eukaryota; Viridiplantae; Streptophyta; Magnoliopsida; Malpighiales; Salicaceae
Exons: 2
Source: RefSeq, a predicted model, not a curated record
GAAAUCCAGGGACAAGGUUUAGAAAACCACGAGGAAAAAGUUAGGAGCCAGAACAUCCAAAAGCAGAGCUUGAAGUAUUAUAUAUCCUUGCAGGAAAAAAGGAAAAUACAUGCCCACCAACAUGAUAAAAAGCAACCAACUGGAUGUCACAAAACAAAAGUAAUUGUUGUGAUCAGAUAUGAAAUAGAGCUCUUAAAAAAUAUUGAACAGGACAACCCAUCACCUACCCAAGUCAAAACUAAACUAACAAAUCAGCCCCCUCAUCUUGUCUCCACAUUUCCCGCUCAAGAAAAACACUGCACAUCACAAUGGCAGUAACAUGCCAACCUCAACGUGCAUUAAAUGUCUGUCAGUUGAAAUAGCUUAAAACCAUACUCCUUUUCUCCUUUCAUCAGCAUGCUAAACCCACCCACCCUCAAUUAUCUCAACUGAAACAUCCAAAUGCAUGUCCACACCUUAAUUAUUGGGGG